GAGAGUGGCGGAAGGGCGAGGAACACGUGAGCAACCUGUCUGGGUGGGGAAAACCGUGGAAACGACGGCUAAUACCGAAUGUGGCGCCCGGAGACAUCUCCGGAGCGCUAAAGGGGGCCGCAAGGCUCUCCCUCUUCGAGGGGCUCGCGCACCAUCAGCUUGUUGGCGGGUAACGGCCCACCAAGGCUUACGGUUAGCUGGUCUGAGAGGAUGGCCAGCCGCACUGGGACUGAGAUACUGCCCAGACUCCUACGGGAGGCUGCAGUCGAGGAUCAUUCGCAAUGGGGGAAACCCUGACGAUGCGACGCUGCGUGGAGGAUGAAGGCCCUUCGGGUUGUAAACUCCUGUCAUGAUGGAAAAGGAGAGGGGACCCAACACGUCCCUUAUUUGAUGGUACAUCAAGAGGAAGAGACGGCUAACUCUGUGCCAGCAGCAGC
Molecule: ribosomal RNA, 437 nt
Filed under: uncultured bacterium
Lineage: Bacteria
Description: bacterial SSU rRNA
Rfam family: Bacterial small subunit ribosomal RNA
Source: RNAcentral